This 636-nucleotide ribosomal RNA is filed under the name Agriognatha espanola. Its description in RNAcentral is "eukaryotic LSU rRNA". It matches the Rfam family "Eukaryotic large subunit ribosomal RNA", at positions 80 to 502 of the family's 3401-position model. Lineage: Eukaryota; Metazoa; Arthropoda; Arachnida; Araneae; Tetragnathidae. The record is from RNAcentral.
UGAGUAACGGCGAGCGAAAAGGGAAGAGUCCAGCACCGAAUCCCGCACCCUUUGGGUGCCGGGAAAUGUGGUGUUUGGGAGUGAGCGCGUCGGAGGUCGAACCCGCAGCAAGUCCCCCUGACCGGGGCUCUUUCCCAGAGUGGGUGCGAGGCCCAUAGCUGCGGGAUCGCCUCCGAGUGCGAUCUCCUCGGAGUCGGGUUGCUUGGGAGUGCAGCCCAAAGCGGGAGGUAAACUCCUCCUAAGACUAAAUACCGCCGUGAGACCGAUAGCAAACAAGUACCGUGAGGGAAAGUUGCAAAGAACUUUGAAGAGAGAGUUCAAGAGUACGUGAAACUGCUCAGAGGGAAACGGGUGGGCCCUCGAAAUCCUGUGGAGGGAGGAUUCAGUCGGGAGUCGCUCGGGACUCGGGGCGCGUCAUUCGGACCCGCGACCGGGCCGGCGCUCCGUUUCUCCGUGGCGGCGACCGACGCAUUUCUUUCCCUCCCGAAGGACGCCGCAACCGGUUGGCGGGGCGGCCAUAAGGGCGGGAGCCGGCAGGUGGCCGGUGGCUCGCUUCGGCGGGCCGCCGGUUGUUAGCCUUUCCGUCGUGCGGCCGCACCCCGACCGUGGUGCAGCGAGGCCCUCAUGGGACUUGGA